UUUUCUUUUGAUAGAAUGUCAAACUUACGAAAAAAGUUACAAGAAGAGAACAAAGAGCUAUUAGAGGGUGUUGCUGACACAAUGCUUUAUCACUCUUGAAUAUUUUCGUGUGUAAUUCCUACAAAUAAGGACAUUCUCCCACAUAGCCACAAUACAACCAUCAAAAUCAGGAAGUUAACGCUGAUGUGUUUCUACCAUGUAAUCCUCAGAUCCAAUUCAAGUGUCACCAGCUGUCCCAAUAAUGUCUUUUAUAACAAAAACAUUCAGUCUAAGAUCACUCAUUCUAUUUAGUUAUCUUGUCUAUUCUUCAAUUUGGAAGUGUUCUUUGUUCUUUCCUGAAUGUUCAUGACCUUGACAUCUUAGAAGAUUAAAGGUUAUUUAAAGUUGUUGAGUUAAAUAUCCAUUAAAUUAGGUUUGUCAGAUAUUUCCUCGAAAUUAGAUUCAGCUUAUGCAUUUUUUGGAAGGAAUACCACAGAAGUGAUGUUGUUUUCUUUCUGUUGCAUCCAAUCAGAUGAUACAGGAUUUUGAUUUGUUCCAUUACUGUUGACAUGAAUUUUGAACAUUUGAUAAUGCCAGUAUCAGCCAGAUUUUUCCAUUGUAAAGUCAUUCCUUUGUCCUUUGUAUUUAAUAAGUAUGUUUAGGGACUUUGAGACUAUGUCAAUGUCCUGUUCUUCAUCAAAAUUCCACUCACUCAUUCUUAGUAUUCAUUGACGUUUACUGAUCGAACUAAUUAUUAUUAUGAUAGUUGCCAAAUGUUGGUUUUUCUAAUUCAAUCAUUUCUUUAGUGUUUAUUAGCAUUCUACUAUAAGGAAAAGCACUAUCUUCUCCCCAUUUAUUAAUUCACAUAUUUACAUCAGCUUGGAGUUAUUGAUUUCUAUUUUAUUAAAUAGUUUAUAAUUGAUUACCAUCCUUAUUUAUUUUAAUGCUCAAAUUGUCCCAAAUUAUGGCCAAAGAAAGCUCCUUCAAACUGGUUGCUAUGUCCUUUUGACAUGGCCCAUCAUUCUUUAAACACAUUUUACAUCUGGCACAAUAACGUGCUACAUACCCAUCUUGUAUUUUUCCUGCCCCAUCUUUGAAAUCAGCCAUUCUCAAGGGGUUCCUUCUUAAUCUGGCUGUUGUUGUGUUGGAACUCCUGGUACCAUCUUAGAACCUUAAGGAGACAAGCGAACCAAGCCAAUAAGCUUUCCAUGAUGCUGCUUAGAGUUAAACAGAGCCCAGGUACUAAGUUAUGUCAUGGAGACAGUGAACUAACCUCUGGACUGCUUGCUACAUGAGACAAUUGAUUUUCUUAUUUUCUAUGUAGGGUGGUACAUUUCCUCAUUUUGAGAUAUUUCUUCAACAUAUAGCUUUUCAUUAGUGGGGAUUUUGUCAAUUAUAACCAAAAACAAUGUGACGGAUACCCAAGAUGUUUCAUGUUGUAGCUUGGGUGAAUUACACAUUUCUGAAGCCAUUACACUUCCUAGUUUAUUUGGAUUUAAGUUGACAAAUAAAAAUUGCAUAUGUUUAUGGUCUAUAACAUGGUGUUUCGAUAUAUGUAUACAUCGUGGAAUGGCUAAAUCAAGCUAACAUAUCCAUUACCUCACAUAGUUAUUUUUUGUGGUGAGAACAUUUUAAAAAUAUUGUCUUAGCAAUUUUCAAUCAAGCCUGUCCCAUGGAGACACAAGCAAUAGUGACAUGAGCACUUGACUCGCUGGGUUAUCAGGCUUUGGCUCCAAAUGUUUGGCUUCAAAUAUGAAAAAGUUACAUGAAAGAUGAAACUAUGCAAUGGCAUGGCUGUUGGUCAUUCACAUCUCUCUCUGCCAAGAAUGGGGAUGACGCUGUUGAAGGAAGAAAUGUGUUUUCUCCUUUUUCUCAAGUGAUAUUUGCCUUAGGUCAGAUUCUACUAGUUUAAAGCAAAACGAUCUCCUGGUCUGAUUCCUUUGGGUCUCUAAUAAUGGAAACUGCAAGGAUCAGCAUAAAGUGUUCCUUUGUUCUGACGUUGGUAUAACAUUGCUUCUUGAAAAAUGAAAGUAUUUGGACAUACAGACAGAAGCAAUAUUAUUCAGGUCUUCCUUGUUGCAAGUGAGGGAAAUCCAAUUAAAACUGGUUUAAACCUAAAAAAAAAAAAAAGAAG
This 2113-nucleotide long non-coding RNA is filed under the name Homo sapiens (human). RNAcentral describes it as "non-protein coding LINC00312:2". Lineage: Eukaryota; Metazoa; Chordata; Mammalia; Primates; Hominidae. The record is from RNAcentral.